Molecule: ribosomal RNA, 446 nt
Filed under: uncultured bacterium
Lineage: Bacteria
Description: partial 16S ribosomal RNA
Rfam family: Bacterial small subunit ribosomal RNA
Source: RNAcentral
AGCGAACGCUGGCGGCAGGCUUAACUCAUGCAAGUCGAGCGCCCCGCAAGGGGAGCGGCAGACGGGUGAGUAACACGUGGGAACGUACCUUUUGGUUCGGAACAACCCAGGGAAACUUGGGCUAAUACCGGAUAAGCCCUUACGGGGAAAGAUUUAUCGCCAAAAGAUCGGCCCGCGUCUGAUUAGCUAGUUGGUGGGGUAAUGGCCCACCAAGGCUACGAUCAGUAGCUGGUCUGAGAGGAUGAUCAGCCACAUUGGGACUGAGACACGGCCCAAACUCCUACGGGAGGCAGCAGUGGGGAAUAUUGGACAAUGGGGGAAACCCUGAUCCAGCCAUGCCGCGUGAGUGAUGAAGGCCUUAGGGUUGUAAAGCUCUUUUAGCAGGGAAGAUAAUGACGGUACCUGCAGAAAAGCCCCGGCUAACUUCGUGCCAGCCGCCGCCGUAA